RNAcentral lists this ribosomal RNA (156 nucleotides) under Torrentispora biatriispora. RNAcentral describes it as "5.8S ribosomal RNA". It matches the Rfam family "5.8S ribosomal RNA". From Rfam's summary of the family: 5.8S ribosomal RNA (5.8S rRNA) is a component of the large subunit of the eukaryotic ribosome. The record is from RNAcentral. Lineage: Eukaryota; Fungi; Ascomycota; Sordariomycetes; Xenospadicoidales; Xenospadicoidaceae.
AAACUUUCAACAACGGAUCUCUUGGUUCUGGCACCGAUGAAGAACGCAGCGAAAUGCGAUAAGUAAUGUGAAUUGCAGAAUUCCGCGAAUCAUCGAAUCUUUGAACGCACAUUGCGCCCGCUAUCUCUAGCGGGCAUGCCUGUCCGAGCGUCAUCU